RNAcentral lists this ribosomal RNA (402 nucleotides) under uncultured bacterium. RNAcentral describes it as "bacterial SSU rRNA". It matches the Rfam family "Bacterial small subunit ribosomal RNA", at positions 401 to 796 of the family's 1533-position model. The record is from RNAcentral.
UGUGUGAGGAAGGCAUUGGGGCUGUAAAGCACUUUUAUCGGGAGCGGAUCGCGCCAGAAUAAUCUUCUGGUGAAUUGUCGGUACCAGAGGAAUUAACACGGGCUAAGUCAGUGCCAGCAGUCGCUGUAAUACGGAGGGUGCAAGUGUUAAUUAAAAUUACUGGGCGUAAAGCUCGCGUGGGUGGUAAUUUAAGUGUGAUGUGAAAUCGGUGGGCUCAACUUCGGAAGGGCAAUGGAUAAUGGCUGGCGGGAGUGCGGUAGAGGAAGAUAGAAUUACCGAUGUAGCGGUGAAAUGCGUAGAUAUGGGGAGGCACAUCAGUGGAGAAGGCGACCCUCUGGACCAGCACAGACGUAGAUACACGAAAGCUUGGGGAGCAAACAGGAUUAAAUACCAUGGUAGUCC